This 362-nucleotide ribosomal RNA is filed under the name uncultured bacterium. Its description in RNAcentral is "bacterial SSU rRNA". It matches the Rfam family "Bacterial small subunit ribosomal RNA", at positions 68 to 437 of the family's 1533-position model. The record is from RNAcentral.
GUUACCAGUGCGGAGUACUGGCCAGUGGCGCACGGGUGAGUAACGCGUGGGAAUCUACCCGGUAGUGGGGGAUAACCCCUCGAAAGGGGGGCUAAUACCGCAUAAGUCCUACGGGGUAAAGAUGGCCUCUUAGAGGCUAUCGCUUCCGGAUGAGCCCGCGUCCUAUUAGCUAGUUGGUGAGGUAAUGGCUUACCAAGGCCACAAUGGGUAGCCGGUCUGAGAGGAUGAACGGCCACACUGGGACUGAGACACGGCCCAGACUCCUACGGGAGGCAGCAGUGGGGAAUUUUGCGCAAUGGGGGAAACCCUGACGCAGCAACGCCGCGUGGAUGAUGAAGGCCUUCGGGUCGUAAAGUCCUGUU